UACGGGGGGGGCAAGCGUUGUUCGGAAUUACUGGGCGUAAAGGGCUCGUAGGCGGCCAACUAAGUCAGACGUGAAAUCCCUCGGCUUAACCGGGGAACUGCGUCUGAUACUGGAUGGCUUGAGUUUGGGAGAGGGAUGCGGAAUUCCCGGUGUAGUGGUGAAAUGCGUAGAUAUCGGGAGGAACACCAGUGGCGAAGGCGACUUCCUGGCCUGUUCUUGACGCUGAGGCGCGAAAGCUAGGGGAGCAAACGGG
RNAcentral lists this ribosomal RNA (253 nucleotides) under uncultured bacterium. RNAcentral describes it as "partial 16S ribosomal RNA". It matches the Rfam family "Bacterial small subunit ribosomal RNA", at positions 524 to 776 of the family's 1533-position model. The record is from RNAcentral.